GGGCCGUUAGCUCAGUUGGUAGAGCAGGAGACUCUUAAUCUCAAGGUCGAAGGUUCGAACCCUUCACGGCCCA
RNAcentral lists this transfer RNA (73 nucleotides) under Solirubrobacterales bacterium. RNAcentral's name for it is "tRNA-Lys". It matches the Rfam family "tRNA". From Rfam's summary of the family: Transfer RNA (tRNA) molecules are approximately 80 nucleotides in length. Their secondary structure includes four short double-helical elements and three loops (D, anti-codon, and T loops). RNAcentral also lists the same sequence under 2 other names. The record is from RNAcentral. Lineage: Bacteria; Bacillati; Actinomycetota; Thermoleophilia; Solirubrobacterales.